GACGAACGCUGGCGGCGUGCCUAAUACAUGCAAGUUGAGCGAUGAAGAUUGGUGCUUGCACCAAUUUGAAGAGCAGCGAGCGGGUGAGUAACGCGUGGGGAAUCUGCCUUUGAGCGGGGGACAACAUUUGGAAACGAAUGCUAAUACCGCAUAACAACUUUAAACAUAAGUUUUAAGUUUGAAAGAUGCAAUUGCAUCACUCAAAGAUGAUCCCGCGUUGUAUUAGCUAGUUGGUGAGGUAAAGGCUCACCAAGGCGAUGAUACAUAGCCGACCUGAGAGGGUGGUCGGCCACAUUGGGACUGAGACACGGCCCAAACUCCUACGGGAGGCAGCAGUAGGGAAUCUGCGGCAAUGGACGAAAGUCUGACCGAGCAACGCCGCGUGAGUGAAGAAGGUUUUCGGAUCGUAAAACUCUGUUGGUAGAGAAGAACGUUGGUGAGAGUGGAAAGCUCAGCAAGUGACGGUAACUACCCAGAAAGGGACGGCUAACUACGUG
Molecule: ribosomal RNA, 497 nt
Filed under: uncultured bacterium
Lineage: Bacteria
Description: partial 16S ribosomal RNA
Rfam family: Bacterial small subunit ribosomal RNA
Source: RNAcentral